UUUAAAUGAGAGUUUAACUCAAAAUAUUUUAUUUUAUAAUCCCUUUAUAAAUACUUGAAAUAAAGAACUCCAUUUAAAUAAUUAAUUUAAAGGUCAAUAUAUAAUUAAAUUAAUCAAGCUCAAUUUAAAUUAAUAAUUAAGAGCUCAAAUAAUUUAAAUAGAUAUAAGCCCAAAUUAAUUAGAUAAAUUAAGUCUAUCAUGUUUUUCUUUGAAUAAGCCCCAAACAAUUAAAUUAAAAUAGGCCCAAAUAAGAAAGCCCAAAAUUUUCGGCCCAAACCCGGCUCAAACCCGGCCCAAACCCAGUUGAAACCCGGCCCAAACCCAGCUCCCCUUUCUAACCUAAAUAUACACACACACUAAAUACACUCAAACACACACAUUAGCUGCGCCUCUCUCUCUCUAUCUCUAUCUCUCGGCUCUCUCUCUCCCUAUUCUCUCUGCUCUCUCUCUUUACUCUCUCUCUGCUCUCUCUCUUCGUUCGGCUGAGGGCGGCGCCGCCUCCGGCGCGCCGCCUCGCCGUCGCCUCCUCCCCUCCUCUCCUUCGGCCACCGCGACCAGCCACCAGGUGUCGCCACCCUCGACUCCCUCGCUCCCUCGGCCGCUGGAACCAGGCGCAGCAGCGCAACCACGCCGGUGUGCCGCCAUCGCCGGGCCGCCGCCUGCUCCCUCAUCCUCGCGGCAGAUCCGCCGCCGCCGUUCAACGCCACGGCCGCCUGGAGCUGCUGCUGUUCGCCUGAGGUCGACGGAUCUGGCCUUCAGUCGUUCGUCUUGCUCGGAGUUCCCGCCGCCGUUGGCUUGCCCGGAGUCGCCGCUGGCUGGCCCGCGAUCGACGGCCAGCAGCUCGCUGGAGGAGCCGAGCACCGUCUCACAAAGAUCGGAGACAACCGCGGCUCCGUCGCCGUCCGUCAACCGCCGGCGACGACGAGCCACCGAGGCUGCCCUCCCCCUGACCUCGACUCACACACGCAAUCAGCCAACACAAAGGGUUUUUUUGUGCGAGAAUCAUAUACUGUAAUUGCUCAAAUAAAAGUUUUAACUCUUUCCUUGUAACUUCAGUUCACAAGUACAUAUUUAGUAACUGUAAAUCUAUGAAUUUGCUACUCAUUUUCUUCAUUUAUCAAAGCAUAUGUAAAUCUGAGUUAAUGAGCAUGUGUUGGUAUUCUGGAGUUGAUGUAUACAAUUGAAGGAUAUUAUAAUAUAUAAAUUAGAAAUAUAAA
This is a long non-coding RNA of Salvia miltiorrhiza (redroot sage), 1217 nucleotides long. RefSeq lists it as uncharacterized. The record is from RefSeq and is a predicted model, not a curated record. The transcript has 2 exons. Lineage: Eukaryota; Viridiplantae; Streptophyta; Magnoliopsida; Lamiales; Lamiaceae.